AGCGAACGCUGGCGGCAGGCUUAACACAUGCAAGUCGAACGCUCAUCUUCGGAUGGGAGUGGCAGACGGGUGAGUAACACGUGGGAACGUACCCUUUGGUUCGGAAUAACUCAGGGAAACUUGAGCUAAUACCGGAUACGCCCGUUUGGGGAAAGGUUUACUGCCGAAGGAUCGGCCCGCGUCUGAUUAGCUAGUUGGUGGGGUAACGGCCUACCAAGGCGACGAUCAGUAGCUGGUCUGAGAGGAUGAUCAGCCACACUGGGACUGAGACACGGCCCAGACUCCUACGGGAGGCAGCAGUGGGGAAUAUAGGACAAUGGGCGCAAGCCUGAUCCAGCCAUGCCGCGUGAGUGAUGAAGGCCUUAGGGUUGUAAAGCUCUUUUGUCCGGGACGAUAAUGACGGUACCGGAAGAAUAAGCCCCGGCUAACUUCGUGCCAGCAGCCGCCGCGG
RNAcentral lists this ribosomal RNA (451 nucleotides) under uncultured bacterium. Its description in RNAcentral is "partial 16S ribosomal RNA". It matches the Rfam family "Bacterial small subunit ribosomal RNA", at positions 29 to 523 of the family's 1533-position model. The record is from RNAcentral.